CUCACUAGUCGAGUGACACUGCGCCGAAAAUGUACCGGGGCUAAACAUAUUACCGAAGCUGUGGAUUGUCCGUAGGACAAUGGUAGGAGAGCGUUCUAAGGGCGUCGAAGCAUGAUCGCAAGGACAUGUGGAGCGCUUAGAAGUGAGAAUGCCGGUGUGAGUAGCGAAAGACGGGUGAGAAUCCCGUCCACCGAUUGACUAAGGUUUCCAGAGGAAGGCUCGUCCGCUCUGGGUUAGUCGGGUCCUAAGCUGAGGCCGACAGGCGUAGGCGAUGGAUAACAGGUUGAUAUUCCUGUACCACCUAGUAUCGUUUUAAUCGAUGGGGGGACGCAGUAGGAUAGGCGAAGCGUGCUAUUGGAUUGCACGUCCAAGCAGUAAGACUGAGUGUUAGGCAAAUCCGGCACUCAUAAGGUCAAGCUGUGAUGGGGAGGGGGAAAUUGUUUCCUCGAGUCGUUGAUUUCACACUGCCAAGAAAAGCCUCUAGAUAGAUAACAAGUGCCCGUACCGCAAACCGACACAGGUAGUCAAGAUGAGAAUUCUAAGGUGAGCGAGCGAACUCUCGUUAAGGAACUCGGCAAAAUGACCCCGUAACUUCGGGAGAAGGGGUGCUCUUUAGGGUUAACGCCCAGAAGAGCCGCAGUGAAUAGGCCCAAGCGACUGUUUAUCAAAAACACAGGUCUCUGCUAAACCGUAAGGUGAUGUAUAGGGGCUGACGCCUGCCCGGUGCUGGAAGGUUAAGAGGAGUAGUUAGCUUCUGCGAAGCUACGAAUCGAAGCCCC
This 779-nucleotide ribosomal RNA is filed under the name Salmonella enterica subsp. enterica serovar Typhimurium. RNAcentral describes it as "partial 23S ribosomal RNA". It matches the Rfam family "Bacterial large subunit ribosomal RNA", at positions 1141 to 1921 of the family's 2925-position model. The record is from RNAcentral. Lineage: Bacteria; Pseudomonadati; Pseudomonadota; Gammaproteobacteria; Enterobacterales; Enterobacteriaceae.